GGCCUACGGGGGGCAGCAGUGGGGAAUAUUGCACAAUGGGGGAAACCCUGAUGCAGCAAUGCCGCGUGGGUGAAGAAGUACUCCGGUAUGUAAAGCCCUGUCAGCAGGGAAGAAAAUGACGGUACCUGACUAAGAAGCCCCGGCUAACUACGUGCCAGCAGCCGCGGUAAUACGUAGGGGGCGAGCGUUAUCCGGAUUUACUGGGUGUAAAGGGAGCGUAGACGGCCGUGCAAGUCUGAUGUGAAAACCCGGGGCUCAACCCCGGGACUGCAUUGGAAACUGCAUGGCUGGAGUGUCGGAGAGGC
This 305-nucleotide ribosomal RNA is filed under the name uncultured bacterium. Its description in RNAcentral is "bacterial SSU rRNA". It matches the Rfam family "Bacterial small subunit ribosomal RNA", at positions 335 to 658 of the family's 1533-position model. The record is from RNAcentral.